AAAUUGAAGAGUUUGAUCAUGGCUCAGAUUGAACGCUGGCGGCAGGCCUAACACAUGCAAGUCGAACGGUAACAGGAAGCAGCUUGCUGCUUUGCUGACGAGUGGCGGACGGGUGAGUAAUGUCUGGGAAACUGCCUGAUGGAGGGGGAUAACUACUGGAAACGGUGGCUAAUACCGCAUAACGUCGCAAGACCAAAGAGGGGGACCUUCGGGCCUCUUGCCAUCAGAUGUGCCCAGAUGGGAUUAGCUUGUUGGUGAGGUAACGGCUCACCAAGGCGACGAUCCCUAGCUGGUCUGAGAGGAUGACCAGCCACACUGGAACUGAGACACGGUCCAGACUCCUACGGGAGGCAGCAGUGGGGAAUAUUGCACAAUGGGCGCAAGCCUGAUGCAGCCAUGCCGCGUGUAUGAAGAAGGCCUUCGGGUU
This 427-nucleotide ribosomal RNA is filed under the name Salmonella enterica. Its description in RNAcentral is "bacterial SSU rRNA". It matches the Rfam family "Bacterial small subunit ribosomal RNA", at positions 1 to 424 of the family's 1533-position model. The record is from RNAcentral. Lineage: Bacteria; Pseudomonadati; Pseudomonadota; Gammaproteobacteria; Enterobacterales; Enterobacteriaceae. RNAcentral also lists the same sequence under 5 other names.